UGGGGAAUAUUGCACAAUGGGCGCAAGCCUGAUGCAGCAACGCCGCGUGAGUGAAGAAGGAUUUCGGUUCGUAAAACUCUGUUGUUAGGGAAGAAAAAAUGUAUAGUAACUAUACACAAAAGAGACGGUACCUAACUAGAAAGCCACGGCUAACUACGUGCCAGCAUCCGCGGUAAUACGUAGGUGGCAUGCGUUGUUCGGAAUUAUUGGGCGUAAAGCGCGCGCAGGUGGUUCAGAAAGUCUGAUGUGAAAGCCCACGGCUCAGCCGUGGAGGGUCAUUGGAAACUAAUAAACUUGAGUGCAGGAGAGAAGAGUGGAAUUCCUAGUGUGGCAGUGAAAUGCGUAGAGAUUAGGAGGAACACCGGUGGCGAAAGCGGCUUUUUGGCCUGCAACUGACGCUGAGGCGCGAAAGCGUGGGGAGCAAGCAGG
Molecule: ribosomal RNA, 429 nt
Filed under: Verrucomicrobiota bacterium
Lineage: Bacteria; Pseudomonadati; Verrucomicrobiota
Description: Verrucomicrobia bacterium partial 16S ribosomal RNA
Rfam family: Bacterial small subunit ribosomal RNA
Source: RNAcentral